AGCGAACGCUGGCGGCAGGCUUAACACAUGCAAGUCGAGCGGGCAUCCUUGUGGUGUCAGCGGCAGACGGGUGAGUAACGCGUGGGAACGUGCCCUUCGGUUCGGAAUAACUCAGGGAAACUUGAGCUAAUACCGGAUACGUGCGAGAGCAGAAAGGUUUAUCUGCCGAAGGAUCGGCCCGCGUCUGAUUAGCUAGUUGGUGAGGUUAUGGCUCACCAAGGCGACGAUCAGUAGCUGGUCUGAGCGGAUGAUCAGCCACACUGGGACUGAGACACGGCCCAGACUCCUACGGGAGGCAGCAGUGGGGAAUAUUGGACAAUGGGGGCAACCCUGAUCCAGCCAUGCCGCGUGAGUGAUGACGGCCUUAGGGUUGUAAAGCUCUUUUCUCCGGGACGAUAAUGACGGUACCGGAGGAAUAAGCCCCGGCUAACUUCGUG
This 437-nucleotide ribosomal RNA is filed under the name uncultured bacterium. Its description in RNAcentral is "partial 16S ribosomal RNA". It matches the Rfam family "Bacterial small subunit ribosomal RNA", at positions 29 to 507 of the family's 1533-position model. The record is from RNAcentral.